Long non-coding RNA from Salvelinus fontinalis (brook trout), 4829 nucleotides. RefSeq lists it as uncharacterized. NCBI's taxonomy places the organism in Eukaryota, Metazoa, Chordata, Actinopteri, Salmoniformes, Salmonidae. The transcript is spliced from 2 exons. The record is from RefSeq and is a predicted model, not a curated record.
AUCAAAAGUAACAGUAUCUGGUGUGGCCAGCAGCUGCAUUAAGUACUGCAUCUCCAGUAUGGCUGGUGGUAUUGUCAUGCUGAAGGGUCAUGUCAGGAUGAGCCUGCAGGAAGGGUACCACAUGAGGGAGGAGGAUGUCUUUCCUAUAACGCACAGUGUUGAGAUUGCCUGCAAUGACAACAAGCUCAGUCCGAUGAUGCUGUGACACACCACCCCAGACCAUGACAGACCCUCCACCUCCAAAUCGAUCCCGCUCCAGAGUACAGGCCUCGGUGUAACGCUCAUUCCUUCGACGAUAAACGUGAAUACGACCAUCACCCCUGGUGAGACAAAACCGUGACUCAUCAGUGAAGAGCACUGUUUGCCAGUCCUGUCUGGUCCAGCGACAGUGGGUUUGUGCCCAUAGGUGAUGUUAUUGCCGGUGAUGUCUGGUGAGGACCUGCCUUACAACAGGCCUACAAGCCCUCAGUCCAGCCUCUCUCAGCCUAUUGCAGACAGUCUGAGCACUGAUGGAGGGAUUGUACGUUCCUGGUGUAACUCGGGCAGUUGUUGCCAUCCUGUACUUGUCCCGCAAGUGUGAUGUUCGGAUGUACUGAUCCUGUGCAGGUGUUGUUACACGUGGUCUGCCACCGCGAGUACGAUCAGCUGUCCGUCCUGUCUCCCUGUAGCGUUGUCUUAGGGGUCUCACAGUACGGACAUUGCAAUUUAUUGCCCUGGCCACAUCUGCAGUCCUCAUGCCUCCUUGCAGCAUGCCUAAGGCACGUUCACGCAGGUGAGCAGGGACCCUGGGCGUAUUUCUUUUGGUGUUUCAGAGUCAGUAGAAAGGCAUCUUUAGUGUCCUAAGUUUUCAUAAUUGUGACCUUAAUUGCCUACCGUCUGUAAGCUGUUUGUGUCUUAACAACCGUUACACAGGUGCAUGUUUAUUAAUCAUUUAUUGUUCGUUGAACACAAGCAUGGGAUACAGUGUUUAAACCCUUUACAAUGAAGAUCUGUGAAGUUAUUUGGAUUUUUACGAAUUAUCUUUGAAAGACAAGGUUCUAAAAAACGAUGUUUCUUUUUUUUGUUGAGUUUACUUGUAUGUGCACAAAUAUAUACAGUAUGUAUUCAUAUUCAGUAUAUAUUGACACUAUAAAACAGAAAUGCAAGGGGGAACAUUGUAUUUUCUCAAAACAUUGUAUUUUUAUCCAGAUUUCGGUAUGAACAGUAACAUACAAAACAAAUACAGUAGAAGAUAAACAAAAAGGCUUGUUACUAUAAAGAAAAAAACAAUUAUGGUGCAUCCGGUCUCCUAUUUGGGUCUGGCCACAGCACCGAAUCAACAUCACAAGUUGAUGUUCUCUCUGGCUAAACAGUGGGGGAAGUAUUGUCUGAAGUAGUGUAUCCAGCCCUGGCAUGCCCCCUCGUUCAUGUCACCACAGGCCUCCUCCAUCGCCUGGAGAAAGGGUAUGCGUUGGUGGGGUUGGCAAUCGUAUACCUCCCAACGUCACUCCAAAAAUAACUUCUAUUGGGUUUAGAAAUUGAGAAUAUGGUGGCAGGUUGAGCAUAAAAAACUUGAUGGUCAAUGAACCAACUGUGGACCAGAGCAGCCCGGUGGUAUCUUACGUUGUCCCAGAUGACAAAAAACCUGGACUGCUCUGGCACAUUCCUCUGGUCAUUGGAAAUUAGGAUAUUAUGCAGGGUGCCAAGGAAGGUGAUAAUGUGGGCAGUAUUGUAAGGACCAAGAGUAGCAUGAUGAUGGACACCGUUCUGACUAAUGGCUGCACACAUUGUGAUGUUGCCACGACGCUGUACAGGGACAUUAACGAUGACGUGGUGUCCUAUGAGGUUUCUUCCCCUGUGUCUUGUUUUGGCUAGGUUAAAGCCGACCUCGUCAACGUAGACAAAAUCACGAUGCUCUGCAGCAGCAUCUAGUUCCAUAACUCUGAAACAGACAAAACAUUAUUGUAUGACAGUAUGAAUAGACAGAGUAGUCAAUAUGUAGCACAAUACACUGGAAUACAGUACCAAUGACAGGAUAGUAUAGCUUACUUGUACGUAUUUAUAGCGCAGUUGUUUCAUACGAGCUGCUUCAUACGAAUCUGAUGGCGUUUCAGGAGACGGUCAAUUGCGGAUAAACUUACCCCGUUUAUGUUACUGGAUGUUGUGUUCAGUGAUUUGGUGUUGCAGUUGUCGUAAACGUAUGCUGUUGUUUGAAAUGACCAUAUUCACUAUGUGUUGUUCCUGCUCUGCUGUGAACAGACGGUUUCUUCCUCCAUUGAAGGGUCGUCUAGCAAUUCUGCCAAAACUUGAUGUGAAUGGUUAGGGUGCAAGACUUCUUUCAGUAUGAAAUGUUACUGUAGUGCUGUAAGUGCUGCAGUGCUGUAAGUACAGUAGCAUGGUAUAGAGGAUAGGUUCUCAUUUUGGACCCUCUGCCCAGCCUCCCUAAAACUCAAACCAUGGUUGACCACAUGGUCAACCAAAGGGAACCGGAUCUCAUCUGUGAUGCUUCUCCUUCCUCCUCUUCCUUGUCCCACUCCUCGUCCUCACCCUCUUCCCCCCCCCGUCCUCAUAUCCUCCUCUUCCUUGUCCCUCGCUUACUCUCACUCCUCAUCCUCUAACUCUCUCUCCAAAAUUGGUCUCCAUUGUUUUCCAAACCAAGAAAGCCAACCUGAAGCCUAUUUAUAGUGCUCAAGCUCUGAUUUCUAAGUGAAGAAAUUAGCUAUAAGUGUUUUCACACGUGAGCACUGGGUGUUGGUAAUCGGUAAAUGAGUGUGUCAUUUUGAAUGGCAGUGCUUUCCAAACGAAACACUAGACCUGUUAGUUUUGAAUAACGUGUCUAAUGUAGAGAACUGUGUUUAGUGUUUUGCAAAAAGUGUUUUACAAUUGGAAACUGAGUGUAAAGCAGAUAAUGUGUUUGCAGUUUUGCAGACUUGGUCUGAAGAUUAGGUACAUGAGUUAAUCGUUUCACUGAGUGUGCCUCAAAUACCACGUUUAGUGUGUAAGCGAUUGUAAAAAACUGUAACCAAAUCUAAAAUGAGGACAAAUCAGUGUGCCAAAUAAUGUAACAGGAUUGACCUUAACAGAGUUGACAAUUUCAUUUGAAAUCAGCCAUUAAUCCCCUCGUGACAGGGGGAAUGGAAGCUUGUUGUGUGCAACAGGGAGGAUUUCUUUCACCAUAUUAAAACAAGAGUUCAGUUCACUUAACAGGGUUGGCACAGACGUAAAUUAAUCACUAAUCACAUGAAAUAAAUAGUCAUCUUCAGAAAUGACUGUCAAAGCAACAAAAUAACUUGGGCUUUACAAUAAUGGUGAAACUUGGAGACAUUUUUGGAUUUAGUGGGUUGAAAUCUUCCUAGAAGUGACACAGGGUUGAAGGAGGGAGAUGUAAAAACUCAGAAUUUUGGCACUUUAGCAAUAUUAAAUACUCAUAUUAAAAAUAGGGUUUAUUGAAUUAUCCAUGUGGUCUAUAUUAAAGGGCAUUUAAUUUCAUAUAGCAGGCUUUUAAAAUUCAAUAUUGGUUCACAAUAUCUACUUCAAAUAUCAAAGGGAUGCAAAAGGCACUGUUUUUGUGGAAUGACCCUCUUACGGCCAUUUUAGCAUCUACAUCACCAUCCAGAACUUGUUUCUACAAAUACAUUUCAUUUUUACAGUGCGUUAAACUCUCCAUCUGCAAUUUGUAAAAUGUUGUCUUUUCUGUUUCUAACCGGAAUAUUGUUUCAAAUGUAGAACCCUUGCGCAUCAGGACAGUUGAUUGGAAAGAUGUCCUGAUCUAUAUGUACAGAUACUGAAAAUGAUAAUUCAAAAACUAACAUCUGAACUACAUUGCUUUGCAAAGGGUUGCCUUCUGUAAACACAUUUUAUUUGACUCUAUAUUACUCAUUAUGAACGACUUUUUGAUGUGUCAGGCUGCAGGUGAGGCUUAUGAAUGUGAUGGGUACCAAUUGAAGAGCACCCCACAGUUUCUGUUCUGCUACUUUUUGUUGAUGUCUACAUUUCCUUUCUGUUGAGGCUCCUCCAGGUUCACUGCGUCAGAGUCCCCUGGACUUUGGCUUUCACAGUGCAACACUCUGCCUCUUCCUCUUUUCCUCUGCUCUGGCCAACUCCUCUGCCCUUUACAGACAGCCGUACUGUAACACAAGGCUGAAUGUCACUGAGUUAAUCCUGCUUUAUUCAAUUAGGAAGAUUGGGAGGGAAGCGGAUUGAAAAAAGGAUAUGAAAUAGCCACACUGGGAAAGGAAACAUUGCUACAGAAUAUCACCACAGGAGUUGAUAACCAAGUAUAACUAUCAGUCAGUGUACAGUAUGGAUGUAGCUCUGGGAGAAGAUGCGUUAACAAAGCAGCUUCCACGGAGGCCUGGCAUAUAGUGUAUUCUGGUCCCUUGUCAACCUUACUGUAUCUCAUAGAAUUCUCAGUGAUAUACUGUUCAUGGUGCUGCACAUGAUUAUGCACAGGACAUGGGAAUUGAUUACUUUGGAGUCAUUUGAGUCUAAAGCAGCUGUGCUUGGGGCUUCUUAUUCUGUGUCUAUCUCCUUGUGUACAGAUCAAUGUCGAUAAAAACACAUUUGGGAAGCGAGGAAACACAUAAGAAAACUACCGUAUGAGUUUGAUAAUCCAUGAUGACUUUUUAUGCUAUUUACUACUGUAUGAGAUACUGUUCUUAAUCAUUAUAUCUUAAUCAUUGAUGCUCCCAACUUGUUGUGGAUCACUUUGUGUACACACAGUACACACUCAAACACACAGUAAGAAGCAUGCAUACAGUAAUUAAUGGUUAUAACCCGACAUAGUGUAUGUAUUACUUGUCCUCUGUCACAUCACAGAUCUAUUUAUGAUUAAAGUAUUUUAUAUUGUC